UCUCUUCCCCUCCCGUCUCUUCCUCUCGUCAUCGCUCUCCCUCUCCCGACGCACGCGCAGGGCAACGACAACGGGCGCGGCACGCGGUGGCGGCCACCGCCCUCCUCGUCCUCCUCGUCGCUGUCCUCCUCCUCCUCUCGCUCUGUCCCCUUCUAUCCCGAGGAGGCGGCAGGCGCUAGGUGAAGACACGCCGGUGUGGUCCUCCACCAUCCUCCGUGCGAGCUCCUGACGGCCAGGGCAGCGGCGCAGCCAUCCGGACGGGCUCCCGGCAUUCCUUGCAUCGUCCUCUCCUCGAUUGUGUCCAUCCUGUCUCUCCUUAACUCUUCCUAUGCUCAAUGAAACCCUACAUGGUUGCCCUCAUCUUUUUGCUACAAGUUGAAUCCAUAUUUUUUUUUACGAAGUGUGGUUACCUAAUGCUUAGAUCUACAUGAGCUCUUAGUUCUUAGGUACCCAUUUGCUUCAUCGAACUUGCUGCUUGCUUUGAGUGUGUUUUAUUUUGGGUGGGUUAUUUAAUUUUUUAUACUCCAUAUGUACAACAGGGUUGGGUGCAUUUUUUUGUUAAUAGCUCGAUUCAUAUAGUUUGGUCGAAUUUAUCAGGCCUAAUUGAUUGUUGCUCUUUUUUGUAUGUUCAGAACUAUGUUCAUGCUGAUUCAGAUUGAUCUAUUACAGUUCCACCUUCAGUUAAAGGCCAUCUACACAGUGUUUACUAAAGUUCCUUUUUGCUUUAUGGCCACCUUAACCAUGAUAUCUUAAUAAAGUUGUAAAUAGCUUGCACCUUAACUUACAGAAACUUCUUCCCUUUUACUGUAGAAGCCCCUCACAGAAAUUGUUCCAUUUUCGUUUUCAGGUUAUUAAUUCUUGAUGAAGUAAUGUGCGUCAUGUCACCCUGAUAUCUGUGACAUUUGGAAGAUAGAAGAUAAUAUUCUAAUGGUUCAUAUUCAUGGGCUAUAAGUGGUCUCAGGUACAGCCCCUGGCAUAUAAUGCUUGCUCAUAUUUGUUCAAGUUUUUCAAUGUGACAAUCAAGUUAUACAGAGUAUGCAACCUUUUCAAAGUGACUGUGAGGUUACAUGGAGUAUUGGCUGUAGGUUUGCAUUGCUAUAAUAUACAUAUGUCAAGAUUUCCUGCCUAUUCAUGUAUCCAACCUUUGGAAUUUCAUAUUCCCAUUUUUUCACUAUUAUCAUAUAUGUGCCAUGAUCUGCACGUGAUCUUACCGCUGAGGCAAGCCAUCAGGGGCCCGUCGACACCAACAAACGAUUUGUAAGAGCACUAACUAACAGUGAUGAUGUCCUGCUGCAUUGUGUAUUGUAUUCAGGCCUGAAGAUGAAUGGAUCAAUUAAGUGAUUAACUAGAGGUUUCACAUCAUUUUCAUGCAUCCAAACUGUUAUUUGUGCCUAGAAAAUUUUGUUUCAUAUUCUAUAGAUUUUGCACUGUAGCUCUUACGAAUUAGAGUGAAAUAUCAUAUGACAACUAAUAUGUGUCAUUUCUAUGCAAGACUCCUUGGACAAAAUGGCCACAAACAGAGAAGGGCAACAUAAUUCCAUAGUAUCUAGAAUCCAGGUGAAAGGUUCAUGUUCGUACUUAGCGAUUAGUACUGAACAUUUUCUUCUUGCACUCCGCCAAAAAUAUAGGUAUAACAGAUCAGUACCUCUACUUUUAUUGUGCAGUAAGAAGGCUUCUAAGUAUCUCAGGUUUAAAGAAAAUGGAAUUGUACCACCAUAAGAUGUGCACUUAAAAAGGUAACCCUACUACAUUGAGCUGCCAUGAUUCUAGGAUGUGACCAAUUUUGGCCUGUUUUUAGUCACUUUCACUUGCUAAACGUUCAGUCACUACAUAACUUAACAUUUAUUAUACAAAUUUCAUUUCCAAAGCCUUACACGACUAUCAAAAUGAUCUGAUGACCUGCCGUUGUGUUCAGCUUAAUUACUUUUAAUAAAUAAAAAUUAUCUUUUAUUUAGUGUGCUACCUCGCAUCACCAUGCAAUUUAGUGUUAAGCCAUGAAGCAUUGUUGUAUGCAAUUGUUCCCUCGCCUCACAGUAUUUAUAGAUGACCUUCCAAGAAUAUAUUGUUGUUCGACACACUUAUAUCUGCUAUUUUUGGACAUAACAGUCAUGUAACUUCAAGCUUUUAUGAUCCUCGUAUCUUAAUCAACAAUAGGAUACAAAGCCAUGUAAUAAGCAUUGAUCUGCAAGUCGUAUGUUUACUGAACGGUCCUUAAGUUCAAUAAAAUGUCUACACGCAUUAUGUGUCACCAUAAAAAACCCAGGCACUGCACUUUCCUUUGUUGUGAUAUUUAGUGACAGUAUAAGUAAGUCAAUACUAAUAGUGUUUGUACAUAAUAAAUAGUGUCCUCCAUACAAAUGGAGGAAAGCUAGCAAAACAAAAUGGAGUAUGAGGGUUGGGUGCAUUUUACAUAUGGUAAUUCUUAUACCGAAAGAAGAUCUAUUAUACUAACAUAGUAGGCAGCUGUAUAUUAGAAAUUGUUGGUGGCACUGCCUUAAUACAGUUAGUAGUCCAUGUUUUUGUCUAUGGUUGUAUGUUCUCAUCCAUAAGUUCGGUUAGUAAUAAAGUUCAUGUCAUAAAGUCUGGUCAUGUCCAUUAUUUAUUAAAUAUUUUAAGCUUCUUUCUCCUUGCAGGAAUCUUUAGUACUUGGUUAAAACAAGCGUGUCCUUCCAAACCCCUUUGGACAAUUCAUGUUAUUGACAAACCAGUAUGCCGCUUACUCUAUUAUUUUUCUCUAUUUUGUCUGUCUCUCAUACACUAACACAUAGACCUCCUAAGUUUUGAUGAAUGACCAUAUUACUUUCUAGGUUCUGCUUUGUGUUUUACACAAAAAUUCUUUGUUUCCUUAGGUUCCAUGUUGGCCUUAUUUUCCUCAACCUAUUCUUAACAGAGUAAAAAUCUUAAUAGUCGAUAUAGGUAUAUGCUGUUCGGGAGCAGUAGUCCCACGAUGUUACUAUUUAAAAUCCAAUUUAUAUACUUGCUCAGGUUACACGUUCAACCAAGCCGCCCUACAGCAGACCUACCAGGUACGUUGUGCCUGAUUUUUAUGCUGUUACAUUCCUCAGAGCAAAUUUUGGUACUGGUUCAGAAAAGCUAUUUGUGGCAUAGCAGACAUUUAGCAUAUGGCAGUAAUUAAUAAUUUGUAGCAUAUUAUUUGGUCUACCAAACUAAAAUGCAGUUUUGUUACCUAAGAAAGAUGUUAGUGUGUUGGUCAACCCUACCGUCUUCAUCAUUUAUAGUACCAGGAAAAUAAGACCAACAUGUAGUUUGAUGCAUGAUGACGAGGAGUUAGUGUGUUUGUUCUUCUUGUGUUUCCUAUUGUUUUGUAGGUUGUAGAUGACCAGUUUCCCGGCCACGAGAAAUGUCAUAACUGCUGACUCCGACGCUGCUUGUGAUUCUAAAUUUUUUAAUACUUUCUUCCUCUAAACACAUGGCACUUUGUUAUGUCCUUCUAACUAUUUGCUAUGCUCAUCAUUUAUUAAGUUAUUUACAAAAUCAGUACAAUACUCAGGUUUACCUAUUUAAAAAAAAAAUCAGUCUGUACAGAUUGACAACGCACACAGUUUCUACAGAAAGUGAAGAUUGAUAAUUUGGAGUGAAGCUAACAAUUUUUUCCUGCUUUGCAUGCUUUUCUUACUGCAAAGGAUGAUACGGGAUAUCCUACAUUACACACGUCCAGAUACAUUUUACGUCAUCACCGUGUCUAUCUAAUGCAGAUCAAGGUCCAACGAGUCUAAGCACUAAGCCAAAGGCGGCAGCCGUCAGGUCUCCUCGAGCCAAUGGACCUGAUCUCCUGCUCCUAUAAAGCUAAGAAGGAUUCCAGUCCACCCCAAGAAAAAUUUAUCCUAUCAAGCUCCUCAGCCGGUUG
Molecule: long non-coding RNA, 3868 nt
Filed under: Sorghum bicolor (sorghum)
Lineage: Eukaryota; Viridiplantae; Streptophyta; Magnoliopsida; Poales; Poaceae
Description: long non-coding RNA (SBIC_LNC008084)
Source: RNAcentral